RNAcentral lists this small RNA (28 nucleotides) under Bombyx mori (domestic silkworm). Its description in RNAcentral is "ovarian small RNA-15472". The record is from RNAcentral. Lineage: Eukaryota; Metazoa; Arthropoda; Insecta; Lepidoptera; Bombycidae.
GACCCUCUUGAUGGGGAGCAGUGGCCGG